This is a long non-coding RNA of Cynoglossus semilaevis (tongue sole), 1514 nucleotides long. RefSeq lists it as uncharacterized. The record is from RefSeq and is a predicted model, not a curated record. The transcript has 3 exons. Lineage: Eukaryota; Metazoa; Chordata; Actinopteri; Pleuronectiformes; Cynoglossidae.
UUUAGGAUCUGGUUUCAGGGCAUGUUCACUCUCGGCCUCCUUCACCACCGGUUUCCUCACCUCCACUGCCAACUCUUUGACUUUGCUCAAACAUCCUGUGUCUUUGUCACGAACCCAUUUCUGCUGCAGAGCCAGAGCUGGUACUGCUGAAUCUGGGGACGUUGGACCUGGACAGGAUCUGACUUGACUCCACCCUCUGUCUCCUGACUUGCUUCCUCAAAACCAGCAGGGAUACUGGAUCUCCUGGCAAACGAGGGUACCUGACACGGGGGUCAAGACACAACGGACGCUGGCAGAAGGCACUGGAGUAGUACUCAGCAUGUGACCCACCCCCCAGCCCCUCCACCGUCUCUUCCCCUCCUCCUGCCCCUGCACAGACUGACCCCUCGGGCCGUCAGGAGGGCAGUGCAGCGGAACGCUCAAGACGCUGUGGCUGUGACCUUAGGUCAGAGAAGUGCCACCAGACAUGUCACGCUUUAUCCCUGAUCGCUGGCCACGUGUGACUCUGGCAUCGAGGUGCGCCUCUUAGGAAGUGACAAUGAAUAGCAAUCAGCUCUGAGCCUCAGAAUAUAUAAUCAAAUUUGGCUGCAAAUACUGCGGUGUAAAAGGCCUGCGCUGAGACGGCCGAGGCACGACAAUGUGCUACUUCAGCCUCAUCUAUUUUAAUCUGAGGGACAUUUGUAAACAGGCAUGUGAAUGAAAACAUUGUACGGAUAUGGACACACACGGUCGAAGAGGAAGUCAACAAGCUGAAAAGGAUCAAAGUCCCAGGUCUGGCCGGGGGGCAAGUUAUGACACUUGAAGGGGUUCCUAUGGGCUCAACUAUUCUGUAGAAAAUACAGUUUCAUUAAUGGUUUAUUAACAGUGUUGGAAAUGAAUGAUUUGAUUAGGUCCUAGCACUGUUUGUCCUAUCCUCGAGCUUUCUUCUCAAUUUUAUUUUAUUUGUAAACUGUUGCUCAGGUUAUUAUUAUAUUUGAGCUACUCUGUGUCCAAAACAUUAGAGUAUAUUACAAUAUUUUAAUAAGUCUUGGUCUAACUCUGGGAAAAGUCAGGAAGUAGUUCAAGUCACAAGCUAACGUACUUAAGGAUAUUUGACUAAUUUAAGGGCGUUUCUCAGCCUACUUAUAGCAACCACAAUUUUGUAAUUGUUUAAACUAAUUUUAAGCUAUAAAUAGACCAAGUUUAACAGUUUAGUCCUCGCAACUGAGAGCUGAGUCAUAAAAUAGACAAACUUUGGAUGGAACGAAUUUAAGCACACGAGCAAUGCUUUUGUAAACGAAGACAACAAACCUGGUUAACUAGUAUCUCCAAACUGACGACCAUAAUAACAACAUUAACAUUCCUUCAAUCUGAUUCAUGUGUGUGUGGUUUCAUAAACAGAAACACUAAAAAACAAAUGGAGAUAAUAAUUACCUGAAGAAGAAGAUGUUUUGGCUUUGGCCCCCGCUUUCGGUAUCCCAUCUGCUGCUCUUGUCUCUCUCUAAAAAUAAAAAUAAAAUAAAAAAUGAAACUAA